RNAcentral lists this long non-coding RNA (231 nucleotides) under Lathyrus oleraceus (garden pea). RNAcentral describes it as "Pisum sativum (pea) long non-coding RNA (PSAT_LNC002897)". The record is from RNAcentral. Lineage: Eukaryota; Viridiplantae; Streptophyta; Magnoliopsida; Fabales; Fabaceae.
UUUAUUGUUGGUUGUGAACCAAUUUACAUGUAAUAUAUUAUAUGUUUUGAUUGGUUGAUUUGAUUUCUAUCCGCUGCGAAUUAUGCAAAAAUGUUAUUUUGAUUAAAUAAAGAGCAUGACAGUUAUUAUGGUGUGAAGUAGUCGUGUGACACCCUUGAUUGCAUAUUUACUCUGAUUGAUAUGUUGUUAUUUUAAUUAUAUACUCGGGGUAUUUUAGAAGGGUGUUACAAC